CUGCAUGACCUGUUUAUGAAAUGUUUUGCAAUUAGGCAGAUCUGAUUGCAUGAACAUGCAAAUGGGCCAUAUUUUGGAGAUAAAGGAAAUGUUUGAAGUUGCUGAUUGUGGUUGCCCUGUGUCACCGUUGACAGACGUUAGUGGCCGUGAGAAAGUUGU
Molecule: long non-coding RNA, 159 nt
Organism: Cryptotermes secundus
Lineage: Eukaryota; Metazoa; Arthropoda; Insecta; Blattodea; Kalotermitidae
Exons: 2
Source: RefSeq, a predicted model, not a curated record